UGCCCCGUGGUCUAAUGGUACGAUGUCAGCAGUUCACGGCUGGAGAUCGCGAGUUCGAAUCCCGCCGGGGUGA
Mycena olivaceomarginata is the source of this 73-nucleotide non-coding RNA. The record is from the annotation of a GenBank genome assembly. Lineage: Eukaryota; Fungi; Basidiomycota; Agaricomycetes; Agaricales; Mycenaceae.